This 912-nucleotide ribosomal RNA is filed under the name Triticum aestivum (bread wheat). RNAcentral's name for it is "partial small subunit ribosomal RNA". Lineage: Eukaryota; Viridiplantae; Streptophyta; Magnoliopsida; Poales; Poaceae. The record is from RNAcentral.
AUGAGUGCUCGAUUGUGCGUCUCUGUUAGACAAUACUACUGUUAUAGAUUACAAACACGCCCUGCGAUAUUCAACCCAAUAUUACACGGCAAGCGCCUAUUUCAGCAGUUUGCAGUCGACAUGUAUAUCAAGGUCGAGGGCACUAGACUAGACUGGGUUAGGAAUCACCAGAAAGAGAUGCGUGCUGACUUGUAUAAAGGUAUUGUCGAUAGCAUCAUUGCUGGGGAGAGCCGUGCGGAUGCUGUUGGCAAAAGGACAAUACUCCCAGGAACAUUUCAAGGGGGUGGUAGAGAUAUGAAACAGAGGCAAAUGGAUGCAAUGGCCCUUGUGCAAAAGUACGGCAAGCCAGACAUCUUUCUAACAAUGGCUUGCAACCCCAACUGGGAUGAGAUAGUACAGGAGCUUUUGCCUGGUCAAACCCCACAGGACCGCCCCGAUCUUAUUGUGCGGGUGUUUAGAGCCAAGCUAGAGGACCUAAAGAAGCAACUAUUCAAAAAUCACAUCCUUGGAAAGGUGAUUGCGUAUGUCUACGUAGUUGAAUUUCAAAAGAGAGGCCUGCCGCAUGCUCACUUUCUAUUAAUCAUGGAGUCCAGAUGCAAGCUCACGGAUCCGGAGCAGUACGACCGCCUCAUCUCAGCCGAGCUACCAGACAAGCAUAAGUACCCUGAGUUAUACGCCAUGGUCGUUAAGCAUAUGAUGCAUGGCCCCUGUGGUGUCCUGAACCCCAAGAACGUGUGCAUGCAGAGUGGUUCUUGCAAAAACCGAUACCCACGCCCAUUCAACUCGAGCACUAUCCAAGGAAAGGACUCAUACCCCGUUUAUCGGAGACGAGAUGAUGGUCGUCGCACCCAGGUCCGACGAAGAACUCUUGACAACAGGUGGGUUGUGCCAUAUAACCCUUACCUCCUAUGA